AUUGAACGCUGGCGGCAUGCCUUACACAUGCAAGUCGAACGGUAACAGGUCUUCGGAUGCUGACGAGUGGCGAACGGGUGAGUAAUACAUCGGAACGUGCCUAGUAGUGGGGGAUAACUACUCGAAAGAGUGGCUAAUACCGCAUGAGAUCUACGGAUGAAAGCAGGGGAUCGCAAGACCUUGUGCUACUAGAGCGGCCGAUGGCAGAUUAGGUAGUUGGUGGGAUAAAAGCUUACCAAGCCGACGAUCUGUAGCUGGGCUGAGAGGACGAUCAGCCACACUGGGACUGGGAAACAGCCCAGACUCCUACGGGAGGCAGCAGUGGGGAAUUUUGGACCAUGGGCGCAAGCCUGAUCCAGCAAUGCCGCGUGCAGGAUGAAGGCCUUCGGGUUGUAAACUGCUUUUGUACGGAACGAAAAGCCCCGGGUUAAUACCCUGGGGUCAUGACGGUACCGUAAGAAUAAGCACCGGCUAACUACGUGCCAGCCGCCGCGGUAA
This 498-nucleotide ribosomal RNA is filed under the name uncultured bacterium. RNAcentral describes it as "partial 16S ribosomal RNA". It matches the Rfam family "Bacterial small subunit ribosomal RNA", at positions 30 to 523 of the family's 1533-position model. The record is from RNAcentral.